RNAcentral lists this long non-coding RNA (2776 nucleotides) under Mus musculus (house mouse). RNAcentral's name for it is "long non-coding RNA chr2:91752010-91754786". The record is from RNAcentral. Lineage: Eukaryota; Metazoa; Chordata; Mammalia; Rodentia; Muridae.
UUCUUGAUUCAGUAUUACUUCCUACUUUGUUUAGAUGCAGACCAACUGAAUUAGAUUGGUGUAAUUCAGUAUAAAUGUUGCUGUGUGCAGUAAAGAUUCCGGCUCUAGCAGCAGUUUAUGUCUGUGACUUUGGCUUUUUGUUUGUUUUGUUGAUUUUCUUUAGUUUUUUUUUUUUUUGUUUGUUUUUGUUUUUUGUUUUUUUUCGAGACAGGGUUUCUCUGUAUAGCUUUGGCCGUCCUUGAACUCACUGUGUAGACCAGGCCUCGAACUCAGAAAUCCGCCAGCCUCUGCCUCCCGAGUGCUGGGAUUAAGGGCGUGCGCCAUCACGCCCGGCAACUUUUUUUUUUUUUUUUUUAAAGAUUUUAUUUAUUUAUUGUAUGUAAGUACAUUGUAGCUGUUUUCAGACACUCCAGAAGAGGGAGUCAGAUCUCGUUACAGAUGGUUGUGAGCCAUCAUGUGGUUGCUGGGAUUUGAACUCUGGACCUUCGGAAGAGCAGUCGGGUGCCUUUACCCACUGAGCCAUCUCACCAGCCCCAACUUUUUUUUUUUUAAGAGCAGGUUUAUUGGUGGUGCCUUUAAUUUUUGUUCUUGGUAGGAAGGCAGAGGUAGGUGCCUCUCUGUAAAUUUUAGUUCUACAUAUUGAGUUCCAGAGCCAGAAGUACACAAUGAGAGCUGGUCCCAAGAAAUGUUUAAGAAAUGUUUUUUUAUGUUUGUUUAUGGAGGGAUGGGCAUGUACCUCGGGGACACAUGUGGAUGUCAGAGGCUAACUUUCAGGAGUUGGUUGUCUCCUACCAUUUGUCCUGAGGGGGCCAGGUUUGGCAGCAAGCACCUUCCCCUGCUGACCCAUCUUGUUAAUUCUCAGUUUUCUUUUUUAAAGUUUUUUCCCUCCCUAAAUUGUGUGUGUGUGUGUGUUAGUUACAUAAGUGGAAGUGCCCUUGGAGGCCAGAGGAGUCCAAUUAGCUAGGGCUGGAAUUAGAGAUGGUUGUGGUUUCCCUUCCUGUGGGUGCUGGGAACUAGUUUGGGUCUUCUGCAAGAACAGUGCAUGCUCUUCACUGCUAAGACAUCUCUCUAGCCUUUUUUAAUGCUAAGGUCUCAUUAUAUAGCCUAUGUUGGCUUCAAACUAGGUAACCAAACUAGGUUUCCUCAGUUUCCUGAGAGGAUUACAAGUGUGUGUCAUCACAACUUGGCUAAAGCUUUUUCUUCUUUGAUCUCAGCCUGGCCUUGAACUCUAUUCCAGAUUACUUUUCCUUUUUGUGUGCUGAGAUUACAGACUCCAUAAUUGGCGGGCAUAGAACAGCUCAGUGGCAGAUUCUGGGAUUUUUAAAUAAUCAUAGGAUGAGAUAGGGACAGUAAGGGACUGUUGGUGUCUAUCAUUGAAGAGAACCUUUCACAGGCAGAAAAAAUGAGGUUAGUUGUAGAGAAUUUUUUGAAUCCAGGUGGUGCUGAGGGGCCAUCAGACACGUGUCUUAUCAUAUUGAUGACAGGGAUGCAGGGAUGGGAUAAAGAUUUACAUUGUUGUCUUAGAUGUAUUUAUGCCAUUUGUGCUUGACGAAAAGAUCCAUACUGUAGUGAUUUGACAGUUGCUUAAUCAUAGUCUGAUAAAUAUACACCCACACACCCACACCCACACACCCACACACGAGGUUUAUUUCUCUCAAAAACUAUGUACUGAGUUUCUGGAAAGGAAUAAGAGAAAGAUUUUCAUUUUUCUUUAGCAUCGUUUAUUCUGUUUUGCAUUUUGAAAUGAGGCCUUGCUUUGUUCAUAAAUAUAGCUCACAGGCUGGCCUUGUUAUGAUGACAAGUGUGAGCUGGGUAGCACCAUUCUUUAAUUUGUCUGCUUUUCUCUUGUUGCUGUUUUCUUUGUGUGUGUAUGUGUGUAGUGCAUAUACUUGUUCACAUGGGUUUUGUUUGUACAUGGAGAGCAAAGGUAACUUGUUGGGUUUCUCCUUUCAUCACGUUCUUGUGACAAGGUUUCUUAUUAAACCUAAAGACAUCAGUUGGUUUAGAUGAACUAACCAGUGAGCUCCUGGUAUCCUCCAGUCUGCCCCAUUUCUCUUCAGUCCCCACAGUGCUGGGAAUACCAGUGUAUAUUGCCAGGCUCUUUUAAAAAUGGAUGCUGGACAGCCCUAACUCAGGCUCCAUGGCAGGCCCUUUGCCAAAUUGAGCCACUUACUAUGCACCCUUUUUUCAUGACCUCUGAGGAAAUGAACACUAAAAAUAUAAAGCACACAGAUUUGUAGUUGAUAAAGUGUAAAGUAGGUGGAACAUGGUUAAUGUAACAUAUAUGAGGCUAGCACACGAAUAUGGGAAUGUUGUAGGGACUCUGCCUGUGGUAAUUAGGUGUGUAGACUCUGGGUUCAGAUUGUCUGGGUUCAGUUUCUUUUUCUUUCUUUUUUUUUUUUUUCUUUUUUUAUUAAAAGACAGUUAACUCAUCACCCUUUUUGGGUUCAAAGUAUGAAUCUUCCAUUCUGGGACUGAUUCUUUCUUUGCAUCUCAUGUUUGGGUUGGGGCUAAUGAGGAUUAUAAGAAUUUCCUUUGACAUGUCUGUAAUUGUAGCAUCUGAGACAUGAGCCAAGACAUAACCUGAAGGACAACCUGAACUAUAUACUGUGAGGCUUCACUUCCAAAAAAUGUUAUGCAGAAUGUUAUGAUCAGAGCCUGGCACUAUAAAAAUGUUAGCUGUUAUUUUAACUAUUACCUCAUAGCUUAAAUUUGUCAAAAAGAAAAAAAAAAAAAAAAAAAAAACGAUGACAGUGAGCAGUAAAGGGUUUCAUUG